CCUACGGGGGGCAGCAGUGGGGGAUAUUGCACAAUGGGGGAAACCCUGAUGCAGCGACGCCGCGUGGGUGAAGAAGCGCCUCGGCGCGUAAAGCCCUGUUAGCAGGGAAGAAAAUGACGGUACCUGAAGAAGAAGCACCGGCUAACUACGUGCCAGCAGCCGCGGUAAUACGUAGGGGGCAAGCGUUAUACGGAUUCACUGGGCGUAAAGGGGGCGCAGACGGCGAUGCAAGCCAGGAGUGAAAGCCCGGGGCCCAACCCCGGGACUGCCCUUGGAACUGCGUGGCUAGAGUGCAGGAGGGGCAGGCGGAAUUCCUGGUGUAGCGGUAAAAUGCGUAGAGAUCAGGAGGAACACCGGUGGCGAAGGCGGCCUGCUGGACUGCAACUGACGUUGAGGCGCGAAAGCGUGGGGAGCAAACAGGAUUAGAUACCCUUGUAGUC
This 440-nucleotide ribosomal RNA is filed under the name uncultured bacterium. RNAcentral's name for it is "partial 16S ribosomal RNA". It matches the Rfam family "Bacterial small subunit ribosomal RNA", at positions 338 to 795 of the family's 1533-position model. The record is from RNAcentral.